RNAcentral lists this long non-coding RNA (424 nucleotides) under Helianthus annuus (common sunflower). The record is from RNAcentral. Lineage: Eukaryota; Viridiplantae; Streptophyta; Magnoliopsida; Asterales; Asteraceae.
UCAUUUUUAGUUUGGGGCAGAAGCAAAAAUUUAUUUUGAACUAGGGCCAAAAUUGUAAUUGUAAUUGUAAUAUGGGGAUAAAACAUAAUUUUGAGCCGAGGGCAAAAUCGCAAUUUUGAGCGAGGGACAAAAACAUAAUUUUAUUUUGAAGUCGGGGCAAAAACGUAAUUUUAUGUUAAAUUAAGGACGAAACCGUAAUUUUGGAACGAAUAUAAAAGAGUAAAACGGUUGGUCCAAUGAGGGAGCGCCACGAAACCGUAAUUUUAAAACGAAUAUAAAAGAGUAAAACGGAUAUAAAAGAGUAAAACGGUUGGUCCAAUGAGAGAGCGCCACGCAGCUGCGUGGCACUAUUCCUCAAACUUCCUUUUGUAUAUAUUAGAGCAUUCUCAUCCAAUCCAUCAAAUUAUACAUACAUUCCACUAAA